GCCCGCAGAAGCCCUGCAAUUUCCACAUGGGCGGGUGAUUUCAGAACGAUGGACAGAGCUGUUCGGCCAGCCUACAGGGAAGAAAGAAAAGGAGAAACAAUUUUUUCGUGUCUGCCUCCUGCCCCAGUGAAGGAUGAGGAUACUGAAGGUCGGUGAAGCUUCAUAAACUGCCCGAGUGAAGAUGAAAUGAGACCAGAGCUCUGGUAAUCAACUGUGGCUUCUCAAAGAGUAUCUUCACAGAGGACUGCAAAAAGGACAAACCAAAUGCCUCAAGACCAUUUGGGAGCCUGCUGACAUGGUCAAGAGACAGAAGGCGAGCAGGGGAGGUGUGGAGAGAGACGAGAGACACAGAAUCCAAAGCAGGCUCCAGGCUCUGAGCGGUCAGCACAGAGCCCAAGGCAGGGCUCGAACUCAGGAACCAGGAGAUCAUGACCUGAGCUGAAGUUGGAUGCUUAACCCACUGAACUACCCGGCACCCUGUGUAUCGUAACAUAAUAAAAAAGCAAGUUCUAUGGUGGUUAAGAGUCUGGGCUCCAAGUCAAGAAGCCAUGGCUAGAAUCCCAGGUCCGCCACUCCCUGUGUAACCUUGAACGCAUGGCUUAACCUCUCUGUGCCUUAGCUGCCUCACUUGUAAAAAAAGGAAUAGUAAUAUACCCUACAUGUCAUGGAGGAUUAAAGAUGAUGAUAUAGGUCAACCACUUAGAACACAGACUGGUAUACAGUCUGUGUUCAACUUAUAGUAAAUAUGUUAGCUAUUAACAUAAUAGUAUAAAUUCAAGUGUGAAUUCAAUUUUAUAUUUAAAAUUCUAUCACCUAACCGUUUAAAAAAUACAGUCAUACUUGUUUUAUAAUGAUUACUGUAAAUGGCUGUGCAAGAUUCCCUUGACUUAGGCCUUAUUUUCCAAACUCACUCCCUCCUGGAGGUCAUUUCAUGUCAUCUUUAGCUCUCUCGUCGGUGCUUCCAGAUCAGGCAGCCUGACAGGCAGGCCUCAGGGCAGGUCUCCAGGAAGACCCCAAUUCCAGGUGGCUGGAACCCAGUUGACACAUAUGAUGAUGAAUGGUUAAGAGCACAGGCUUUGAGGUAAGACAGACCAGGUUUAAAUCCUGGCUAUGUGACCUUGAGCAAAUUUUCCUAUUCAGCUCAGUCCAUGGUUGUGAGGACCGUGUGAGAUACGUAUGUAAAGUGCUUGUACCAAUGCUCUGUAUAUAAUAAACAAUCAAUAAAUGUUAGCUAGGAUUACUUUGUAAACCCACAAUGUUUUAAGUGAGGGAAGGGCACAGAUUGUGUUUGAUUUAUUAAUCACCCUAUUCCUAACAGUGGAUAUGAUAGGAACUCAAGUAACACGCGAAUAAAUGGAUGGAUCAUAGAAACUGUCAGAGCUGGAAAGGAUUUUUCUUAAACAGCUUUAUUUGUUAUGUAAUCUACAUACCGUAUAAUUUACUCAUAUACAUUGGGCAAUUCAACAAUUGUAGUAUACUCAGAAUUAUGCAAACAUUGCCACAACCUGAUUUUUAAAAUUGUGCUAAAAUACACUUUGUAUGCUAAUAUACAUAAGGUAAAAUUUACCAUUUUAACCAUUUGCAAAUGUAGAAUUCAAUGGCGUCAAAUACAUUCACAAUGUUCUGUCACCAUCACCACUAUGCCCCCAAUUUUUUAUCUCCAUCAUAAACUCUGUAACCCACUAAACAAUAACUCCCCACUCCCUCUUGCCCUGGUAACAUCUACUUUCUGUCUCUAUGAAUUUGCCUAUUCUAGGUACCUCAUAUAUAUGGGAUCAUACAAUAUUUGUCCUUCUGUGUCUGGUUUCUUUCACUUAGCAUGUUUCCAGGGUCCAUCCAAGGUUUAGCAUAUAUCAAAAUUUCAUUUCUUUUUAUGGUUGAAUAUUAUUCCAUUGUAUAUAGGUAGCAUAUUUUGUGUAUCCGUUCUUCCAUCAACUGACACUUGGGUUGCUUCCAUCUUUUGGCUGUUGUGAAUAAUGCUUCUAUGAACACUGGUAUACAAAUGUAUGUUUAAGUCCCUGCUUUCCUGUAAGAAUGAAACUGCUGGGUCAUAUGGUAAUUCUAUUUUUAAUAUUUUGAAGAACCACCAAACUGUUUUCUAAGGAAGCUGCACCAUUUUACAUUCCUACCAACAAUGCAUAAAGGUUCCAAUUUCUCCAUAUCUUCACCAACAUUUGUGGGGUUUUUUUUUGUUUUCCAUUAAAAAAAAAAGUUAUUACAGCCAUCCUAGUAAGUGUAGUAGGUGUGACGUGUUAUUUCCUUGUGGUUUUGGUUUUCAUUUCCCUACUGACGAUGAUUGUUGAGCAUCUUUUUUAUGUGCUUCUUGGCCAUUAGUAUACCUUCUUUACAGAAAUGUCUAUUCAAGUCCUUUGCCCAUUUUGAAUUGGCAAAAUUGUUUUUUGUCGUUGUUGAGUGGUAAAAGUUCUUUCUGGAUAUUAACAACUUAUCAACUAUGUGAUUUGCAUGUAUUUUCUCCCAUUCUGUAGGGUGUCUUUUUGCUUUCUUGAUAUUGUCCUUUGAUGUACAAAGGUUAUUGAUUUUGAGGAAGUCGGAUUUGUCUAUAUUUUCUGUGCUUUGGUAUCAUACCCAUGAAAUUGUUGCCAAAUUCACUGUCAUGAAGAUUUUCCUCAAUGUUUUCUUCUACAAGUUUUAGUUUUAGCUUUUAAGUUUAGGACUUUGAUCUACUUCGAGGUCAUUUUUCUUUGUGGUUUAAGAUUAAGGUCUGGCUUUAUUCUUUUACUUAUGAACAUUCAGUUUUCCUAGCACCAGUUGUUGAAAAGACCACAAUCUCAUUUUAGAACAUUUUCAUCACCCCAAAAAGAAAAGAAACCCCAUACGUGGGAUUUCAUUUUUAUAAGGAGCUAGAAACAUAAGUGAGUUAUUGAGAGUUAAUAAGCCUUGGCAUUCAUAAACAAAAAUUAGUUCACUACAAGACUUUCCCGAGAACAUUAAUUCUCUGUUCCACAAAGAAGUGUGACCUCCAGCCAUCACAGAAUAGCACUGCCAAACUCCCAUGUAUGCACACAGGCCAACAGCUGAAAUUCCCGCAAUUCUCAGGAGGGUGCUUUGUUGUUAAUACAGAAGAUAUUUGUUGCUUUUUUGGGCUAGCCAGCACUUUGUGAACACCCUUCCUAUGCUUGGGUUAUUUCCUUCCUUAAGAGUCGCACCUCCCCAAGGCUGCAACCAGAAUUUGCAGUGCCAGACUCCUUUAUAGUUAGGACUCAGUCAUGGGACCUGCGCUCAGCAGGUAGAGAGGCAUGGAGGCCAGACCUCAGGUUGGAAGAAAGUGCCCUGGAAAAGGAAGGGCUGCAGGCAAGUGAUUCUGGAGAGUGUGGUGGAGUGACUCAACAUCUUUUAAUACAUUCCUCUUCUACAUAAGCUCUCCAUAAGCCUGGUUCUGUUGUUUGUUUGCAACUAUGACCCUUGACUGCUACAAUGCAGCGUCAGCAUUGGUUUGGGUUUUAAUUGCUUUCUUUUCUGUUAAUUUAUAUUGCUUGUAGAUUGCUUUCUGGAGUUUCUUUUUUGUUUGUUUGGGGUUUUUUUUCAAAUGUUUAUUUUGAGAG
Molecule: long non-coding RNA, 3563 nt
Organism: Felis catus (domestic cat)
Lineage: Eukaryota; Metazoa; Chordata; Mammalia; Carnivora; Felidae
Exons: 4
Source: RefSeq, a predicted model, not a curated record